This 323-nucleotide ribosomal RNA is filed under the name Vibrio cholerae. RNAcentral describes it as "bacterial SSU rRNA". It matches the Rfam family "Bacterial small subunit ribosomal RNA", at positions 1078 to 1400 of the family's 1533-position model. Lineage: Bacteria; Pseudomonadati; Pseudomonadota; Gammaproteobacteria; Vibrionales; Vibrionaceae. The record is from RNAcentral.
GGUUAAGUCCCGCAACGAGCGCAACCCUUGUCCUUAGUUACCAGCACGUAAUGGUGGGCACUCUAAGGAGACUGCCGGUGACAAACCGGAGGAAGGUGGGGAUGACGUCAAGUCAUCAUGGCCCUUACGGCCUGGGCUACACACGUGCUACAAUGGUCGGUACAGAGGGUUGCCAAGCCGCGAGGUGGAGCUAAUCCCACAAAACCGAUCGUAGUCCGGAUCGCAGUCUGCAACUCGACUGCGUGAAGUCGGAAUCGCUAGUAAUCGCGAAUCAGAAUGUUGCGGUGAAUACGUUCCCGGGCCUUGUACACACCGCCCGUCAC